Long non-coding RNA from Rhagoletis zephyria (snowberry fruit fly), 210 nucleotides. RefSeq lists it as uncharacterized. NCBI's taxonomy places the organism in Eukaryota, Metazoa, Arthropoda, Insecta, Diptera, Tephritidae. The record is from RefSeq and is a predicted model, not a curated record.
UAUCUCUUCUAUCCUAUUCAAAAUCUUAAGAGAUAAAGAUUUCAAAGGAUAUUUUACAAAUGUUAGUUUCGCUUUAUUUCAAUAGGAUAGCUGUCAAAAUUUAACAGUAUAACGCUCAAUUCGCAAUUGUUCACGCAAAUACUUUCUUAAAUAUGUCUUAUUAUUUAGUGCCAAAAUGAAAUGAGAAUAGUUAUCAAGUCAAUAAAAAAA